UGCAGUCGAACGGCAGCACAGUAAGAGCUUGCUCUUAUGGGUGGCGAGUGGCGGACGGGUGAGGAAUACAUCGGAAUCUACCUUUUGGUGGGGGAUAACGUAGGGAAACUUACGCUAAUACCGCAUACGCCCUUCGGGGGAAAGCCGGGGACCUUCGGGCCUGGCGCUGAUAGAUGAGCCGAUGUCGGAUUAGCUAGUUGGUGAGGUAAUGGCUCACCAAGGCGACGAUCCGUAGCUGGUCUGAGAGGAUGAUCAGCCACACUGGAACUGAGACACGGUCCAGACUCCUACGGGAGGCAGCAGUGGGGAAUAUUGGACAAUGGGCGCAAGCCUGAUCCAGCCAUACCGCGUGGGUGAAGAAGGCCUUCGGGUUGUAAAGCCCUUUUGUUGGGAAAGAAAAGCAUCCGGUUAAUACCCGGUUGUUCUGACGGUACCCAAAGAAUAAGCACCGGCUAACUUCGUGCCAGCAGCCGCGGUAAUACGAAGGGUGCAAGCGUUACUCGGAAUUACUGGGCGUAAAGCGUGCGUAGGUGGUGGUUUAAGUCCGUUGUGAAAGCCCUGGGCUCAACCUGGGAAUUGCAGUGGAUACUGGAUCACUAGAGUGUGGUAGAGGAUAGUGGAAUUUCCGGUGUAGCAGUGAAAUGCGUAGAGAUCGGAAGGAACAUCUGUGGCGAAGGCGACUA
Molecule: ribosomal RNA, 683 nt
Filed under: Pseudoxanthomonas sp. M29T12
Lineage: Bacteria; Pseudomonadati; Pseudomonadota; Gammaproteobacteria; Lysobacterales; Lysobacteraceae
Description: bacterial SSU rRNA
Rfam family: Bacterial small subunit ribosomal RNA
Source: RNAcentral